UACAGAGGGGGCGAGCGUUAUUCGGAAUUACUGGGCGUAAAGCGCGCGCAGGCGGCUUCUUAAGUCUAUGGGUGAAAGACCGGGGCUCAACCCCGUGUCAGCCCGGGAUACUGGGGAGCUAGGGACAUGUAGGGGCGAGCGGAAUUCCGGGUGUAGCGGUGGAAUGCGUAGAGAUCCGGAAGAACACCGGGGGCGAAGGCGGCUCGCUGGGCAUGGUCCGACGCUGAGGCGCGAAAGCGUGGGGAGCGAACAGG
RNAcentral lists this ribosomal RNA (254 nucleotides) under uncultured bacterium. RNAcentral describes it as "partial 16S ribosomal RNA". It matches the Rfam family "Bacterial small subunit ribosomal RNA", at positions 524 to 776 of the family's 1533-position model. The record is from RNAcentral.